RNAcentral lists this ribosomal RNA (253 nucleotides) under uncultured bacterium. RNAcentral's name for it is "partial 16S ribosomal RNA". It matches the Rfam family "Bacterial small subunit ribosomal RNA", at positions 524 to 776 of the family's 1533-position model. The record is from RNAcentral.
UACGAAGGGGACUAGCGUUGUUCGGAAUUACUGGGCGUAAAGCGCACGUAGGCGGCUUUGUUAGUCAGGGGUGAAAUCCCGGGGCUCAACCUCGGAACUGCCUUUGAUACUGCAAGUCUCGAGUCCGAUAGAGGUGGGUGGAAUUCCUAGUGUAGAGGUGAAAUUCGUAGAUAUUAGGAAGAACACCAGUGGCGAAGGCGGCCCACUGGAUCGGUACUGACGCUGAGGUGCGAAAGCGUGGGUAGCGAACAGG